Molecule: transfer RNA, 102 nt
Filed under: Candidatus Woesearchaeota archaeon
Lineage: Archaea; Nanobdellati; Candidatus Woesearchaeota
Description: tRNA-Gln
Rfam family: tRNA
About the family: Transfer RNA (tRNA) molecules are approximately 80 nucleotides in length.
Source: RNAcentral
AGCCCCGUAGUGUAGCGGUCAAAUGGAGCCUAGGAUAAGGUUUCAGGCGAAUCAUUCAACCCUCUGGAGGUUGGGACCCAGGUUCGAAUCCUGGCGGGGCUA